AGAAUCAACGCUGGCGGCGUGCCUAACACAUGCAAGUCGAACGAGAAAGUGGAGCAAUCCAUGAGUACAGUGGCGCACGGGUGAGUAACACGUGACUAACCUACCCUCGAGUGGGGAAUAACCUCGGGAAACCGGGGCUAAUACCGCAUAACAUCCACGGAUCAAAUGCGUAAGCAGCUUGAGGAGGGGGUCGCGGCUGAUUAGCUAGUUGGCGGGUAAUGGCCCACCAAGGCAGUGAUCAGUAG
Molecule: ribosomal RNA, 245 nt
Filed under: uncultured bacterium
Lineage: Bacteria
Description: partial small subunit ribosomal RNA
Rfam family: Bacterial small subunit ribosomal RNA
Source: RNAcentral